This 72-nucleotide transfer RNA is filed under the name Camelus bactrianus (Bactrian camel). It matches the Rfam family "tRNA". Rfam says of the family: Transfer RNA (tRNA) molecules are approximately 80 nucleotides in length. The record is from Rfam by way of RNAcentral. RNAcentral also lists the same sequence under 2 other names. Lineage: Eukaryota; Metazoa; Chordata; Mammalia; Artiodactyla; Camelidae.
GGGGUUAUAGCUCAGUGGCAGAGUGUGUGCUUAGCAUGCACGAGAUCCUGGGUUUAAUCUCCAGCACCCCCA